UGCAGCCAUGUCAAAUUCAGUGUCUGUCCUAAUGAUGGUGAACACUGGCCCAGAAGGCUGCCAUAGAAACUGUGACUCCUGAGCCCCGUUCCCAUGCUUGGUUCUGGGAUAAAUUUAGUCACAGACACCA
Small nucleolar RNA from Onychomys torridus (southern grasshopper mouse), 130 nucleotides. RefSeq annotates it as small nucleolar RNA SNORA5. The transcript has a single exon. NCBI's taxonomy places the organism in Eukaryota, Metazoa, Chordata, Mammalia, Rodentia, Cricetidae. The record is from RefSeq and is a predicted model, not a curated record.